GAUGAACGCUAGCGGCAGGCCUAACACAUGCAAGUCGAGGGGCAGCACAGAAACAGCAAUGUUUUGGUGGCGACCGGCGGACGGGUGCGUAACGCGUAUGCAACCUACCUUUAACAGGGGGAUAACGGAGAGAAAUUUCCACUAAUACCCCAUAACAUCGAUCAAGGCAUCUUGAUUGGUUGAAAACUCCGGUGGUUAAAGAUGGGCAUGCGUUGUAUUAGGUAGUUGGUGAGGCAAUGGCUCACCAAGCCUACGAUACAUAGGGGGACUGAGAGGUUAGCCCCCCACACUGGUACGGAGACACGGACCAGACUCCUACGGGAGGCAGCAGUGAGGAAUGUUGGUCAAUGGGGGCAACCCUGAACCAGCCAUGCCGCGUGCAGGAAGACGGCUCUAUGAGUUGUAAACUGCUUUUAAACAGGGAUAAAGCACAGUAUGUAUACUGUGUUGAAGGUACUGUAAGAAUAAGGAUCGGCUAACUCCGUGCCAGCCGCCGCCGUAA
This 502-nucleotide ribosomal RNA is filed under the name uncultured bacterium. Its description in RNAcentral is "partial 16S ribosomal RNA". It matches the Rfam family "Bacterial small subunit ribosomal RNA", at positions 28 to 523 of the family's 1533-position model. The record is from RNAcentral.